CUCUUAACCCAAGCAUGGCACAUGAGACAGAAGAUGUGGAUCUUAGGGAAGAGUGGUGUGAACUUGGCAGAGAUGCUACAUGGCAUAAUCUGAACUCUUGUUUUUCAAAGGAGAGAGCUAUGUUUGGAAAAAGUAAAGCCUUGCCAAGAAGCACACAUGUAAUAAGUGGCAAAACUGAAACCAAUCUUUUUUUUUUUUUUUAAUUUGGGGCAGCGGGGAGUAUUGCAUGUGGACCCACAGCUGGCCUGCGAGUGGCAAGUAGAAAUUUGUUUCUUAGCCAGUGGCGGGCUGGAGCUUCUGGUACCAGUUCCAGAGGGAGGAGUGUUAAACAUUCGGGAUUUUGGCAGGCAGGUUAACCGUGGUAGCUGGAAAUGUGCCAGAGUCAGAGUAUGUACUAAGGUUACAAACCAACCCUCCUUUUUUUUCUUUCCAAAGAGCCAGUUUACCAGCACACCCUUGCCUAGUUCCCUGUGGGGAUCAUUUACAGUCAGGGCAGACGCCAUGUUUCAGAUGAGAAACAACCUCAGUUUGCGGUGUUUUUCAACAGUUGCCAUUUCCAACCCACCGUCAGCAGAUUGCCCAGGGGCUGCCAGCUAGACCUCAUUUUGCACAUCCAACCCCUCAAACCCACCUCCUGCAAUGGCUGGCACUCUCUCUCUCUGGGACUCAUGCACAAAAUGAGCCUACUAUCUCUAUCUUCUGCUGCCCUUGUUUCCAGCUCAGAAUCAGCUCCUUCCUAACUUUUGAACAGUAGAACAUCAGUACUAUAAGAAUAAGACAAGUCUUGGCAAGUGCGUGUAAGAUCAAGAGCAGUAUCUUUAAGAGACUUGCUUUAAAAAAAAAAAAAGAAGAAGACUGUUAAGGCAGCCAAUAAGCAAAUGCCCCCAGGGAUAGUGACUCUAAUUAUUUAAAGUAGGAAACUCUUGUGCAAAUUGCCCAAGUCAUCUCAUUUCAGGCUUCCGUUGUGUGGCUUGGCGGCUUGCUGCUUCAUUCCCAUCAGAGGGCAAAGGCUGAAAGAGAAAGAAAUCUCCGUGACUGCUUCCAGAGAGAUGUGGGGGGAGCCAGGGCUGCUGCUGCUGUGCAUUCAGCAAGACUUCCUGGAACGUAAUGUCAUCAUGAGAUUGUCUCCAUGGCAGACCUGGAGUUCCGGUUGCAGAACUGGCAAAAUAUGGGGAUGGCAAGACAGAUGAAGUCCUGGCACUUAAUGUCUGUGAAGACAGAAGUAUUUUUACACAUUCGAAUGCUCUAGCUCCAUCCUCUCCUGUUUUCUUCCUCCUUCUUCCUCUUCAUCCUCCUCUCUACUCAAAAUCUGCCCCCUGACCCCAUUUUACAGUUGUUAAACUUCCACGGUGGGUUCCCACCAAGCAUACUAAACUAGAUAUCUUGAGAAACGCGAAAAUGUGUGUUGAGGUGAGAAUUUGGCACAUGGAUCAAGCCACCUCCCUUUCUAAGAUGGACCUGCCUUAAUGUACCCAUUGUUUCUUCAACAAUCCCCGUUGAAGACAGCUUCCCUGGUGGCUUAGUGGUAAAGAAUCUGCCUGCCAAUGCAGGAGACAUGGGUUCGAUCCCUGGUCCAGGAGGAUCCCACAGGCCACAGAGCAGCUAAGCCUGUGUACCACAACCAUUAAGCCUGUGCUCCAGAGCCUGGGAGCCACAACUGCUGAAAUCCCCAAGCCCUGGAGCCCAUGCUCUGGAACAAGAGAAACCACUGUGGUGGGAAGCCUGCGCACCACAACCAGAGAGUGGGCCCUGCUCGCAGCAAAUAG
Long non-coding RNA from Bos taurus (domestic cattle), 1766 nucleotides. NCBI's taxonomy places the organism in Eukaryota, Metazoa, Chordata, Mammalia, Artiodactyla, Bovidae. The record is from Ensembl.